This 196-nucleotide non-coding RNA is filed under the name Dysgonomonas mossii. Lineage: Bacteria; Pseudomonadati; Bacteroidota; Bacteroidia; Bacteroidales; Dysgonomonadaceae. The record is from RNAcentral. RNAcentral also lists the same sequence under 1 other name.
UACCUUUGAAGCCGCUUAGGUGAUGUAUUCAGAUAUUCGUCUGUUGCAUAAAAGGGAAUUCGGUCAGAAUCCGAAACAGUGCCCGCUACUGUGAAUUCCAUAAAAUUUUGAGUAUCACCACUGCCACUGUCACAAUGAUGGGAAGGCCUCUCAAAAUGGAACAAGUCAGGAAACCUGCCUAGCAUGAAUUAAUAGA